RNAcentral lists this ribosomal RNA (468 nucleotides) under uncultured bacterium. Its description in RNAcentral is "partial 16S ribosomal RNA". It matches the Rfam family "Bacterial small subunit ribosomal RNA", at positions 28 to 507 of the family's 1533-position model. The record is from RNAcentral.
GACGAACGCUGGCGGCGUGCUUAACACAUGCAAGUCGAACGGAAAGGCCCUGCUUUUGUGGGGUGCUCGAGUGGCGAACGGGUGAGUAACACGUGAGUAACCUGCCCUUGACUUUGGGAUAACUUCAGGAAACUGGGGCUAAUACCGGAUAGGAGCUCCUGCUGCAUGGUGGGGGUUGGAAAGUUUCGGCGGUUGGGGAUGGACUCGCGGCUUAUCAGCUUGUUGGUGGGGUAGUGGCUUACCAAGGCUUUGACGGGUAGCCGGCCUGAGAGGGUGACCGGCCACAUUGGGACUAAGAUACGGCCCAGACUCCUACGGGAGGCAGCAGUGGGGAAUAUUGCACAAUGGGCGCGAGCCUGAUGCAGCAACGCCGCGUGCGGGAUGAAGGCCUUCGGGUUGUAAACCGCUUUCGCCUAUGACGAAGCGUGAGUGACGGUAAUGGGUAAAGAAGCACCGGCUAACUACGUG